ACAAGGCUGAGCAGACACAAAGUGUGAUCUAGAGCUUCAAUAUGUGGGAAGACAAAUCACUCAAAAUGCAUCGGGAAUUCCAGAAGCAUAAACUGCUGCCCCGGUGCCAUCUCCUACCCCCAGCAAGUGACUGAAACCUCUGACAGCAAUGAGCCAUCUUAGACACUUACCUCCCAUAAUAAGAUCUGUUCUCCUGUUUACCCUUCCCGCUUGACAACAUAAGAUCGAUGACACAGACAAGCUUAUGACUUGAUAGAUGGAUGGCUCAAUCAGCACCCAGUUCACAAUUUACUUGACAAAUUUUACAGUCAUUUUGUGGGGAGCGGGUGUGGCGGUAGUCC
Mus musculus (house mouse) is the source of this 341-nucleotide long non-coding RNA. RefSeq annotates it as predicted gene, 53361. The transcript is spliced from 3 exons. NCBI's taxonomy places the organism in Eukaryota, Metazoa, Chordata, Mammalia, Rodentia, Muridae. The record is from RefSeq and is a predicted model, not a curated record.